RNAcentral lists this ribosomal RNA (301 nucleotides) under uncultured bacterium. RNAcentral describes it as "partial 16S ribosomal RNA". It matches the Rfam family "Bacterial small subunit ribosomal RNA", at positions 509 to 807 of the family's 1533-position model. The record is from RNAcentral.
CAGUAGCCGCGGGAAUACGAAGGGGGCUAGCGUUGUCCGGAUUUACUGGGCGUAAAGCGCACGUAGGCGGACUUUUAAGUCAGGGGUGAAAUCCCGGGGCUCAACCCCGGAACUGCCUUUGAUACUGGGAGUCUUGAGUUCGAGAGAGGUGAGUGGAAUUGCGAGUGUAGAGGUGAAAUUCGUAGAUAUUCGCAGGAACACCAGUGGCGAAGGCGGCUCACUGGCUCGAUACUGACGCUGAGGUGCGAAAGCGUGGGGAGCGAACAGGAUUAGAUACCCCGGUAGUCCCUGUCUCUUAUAC